Alosa sapidissima (American shad) is the source of this 120-nucleotide long non-coding RNA. RefSeq lists it as uncharacterized. Lineage: Eukaryota; Metazoa; Chordata; Actinopteri; Clupeiformes; Clupeidae. The transcript is spliced from 3 exons. The record is from RefSeq and is a predicted model, not a curated record.
AAAGCCCAAAUAAUAUAAUUAAAGCAGCACCAAAGAACUUUUCCUCUGUCGCACGCACGCUUUGUUUAUCCAACGGCUUUGUAAAUAACGAUGUCCAUACACAAGGUAGAAUUUGUUGCA